AUCUUAAAAAAAAAAAGAAAAAAGCAAGCCUGACCUUCCCUGCAGAGCUUCAAGGGGCUUCAGUGAAGUGGCUCCAACUGCGGGAAAACCUUGCCAGGAAGUGGAAGGGACCUGGCCUUGACUCAGAAACGAUGCCUGAGCACAGCAAAGGAGGAAACACUCUCCAACUCAAUUUACAAGACUUCCAAAAUGUUGAGACCUCAACAGGGGCAAGUAGGAGAAUUACUGGCCAGUAAGACUUACGAUCAUGGAUGCAAAAAUUCUAUACAAUGUAUUGGCAAACUAACUCCAGCAACAUUCAAAAGGGAAUAUGGAGCAACUAGAACUACUGUACCCUGGGGUAAGAGCGGAAAGCAGCCAGUAUUACUUUGUAACACCGACCGCGUGGGCACACUCUAGGACCUCAGGCUUCACUGGUAUGGACGCUGUGUUAGUUUUCUAGUGCUGUGUAACAAAACCCACCAGAAAUACAGCAGCUUAAAAUAUCACACACUGCUUAGCUCACAGCUCUAUAGGUCAGAAGUCAGAUGGGCUGGACUGGGUUCUCCGCUUAAAGCUCUCCCAAGGCCAAAGUCAAGGUGUCAGCUGGGCUGGGCUCUUGUCUUCCAAGCUCAUUCAGGUUGUUGGCAGGAGUCAGUUCCCUGUGGUUGUAAUGCUGAGGUCUUGUUUCUUGUUUGCCAUCAGCGGUGGGAGGGACCACUCACACGACCUGGAGCCCUCUCUUUGGCCAGCAAGACCACACCAUGUUCCUCUGCUUUGCAUUUCUCUGAUUUCUUCAGCAAGCAGUCAGAGAAAACUCUGCUUUAAGCCCUGUAGAGGUUCCUUUGAUUAGGUUAGGCACCCUGGGAUGAGCUGCCUUUUGAUUAAUUCAGAGACAAUUGAUUAGUAACCUUCAUUACAUAUGCAGAAUCUCUUUUGCUAUUACUUAACAUAAUCAUGGGUUUACGACCUCCUGACUGUCACAGUCCCAGGGAAUAGGGUGGGAAAUCUGGAAGGUAUUUUAGAGUUUCCCCUGCCCCAUAUGUGUCUAUGAGAAACUAUUCCACAUGUGUACUAAGAACCAAACAUAAGAAUUUUCAUAAUAACCCCCGAAUGAAUACUCGCCCAUGUUUAUUGCCAUUAGAUGAGUAAAUUAAGAUAUAAUCAGAAGAUGAAAUUCUGUGGAGCAGCAGAAAUAAGUGAACUGCAGCCACAUUCAUCAACUGGGAUGAACCUCACACAUGAUGUGUGAAAAAAGAAAUUUGUCACAAAAGAAUGUGUAUAGUUUGGCUCCUUGCAUAUAACAUACAGAUAGAAGCAAAACGAGACUAUUGUGUGGCAAAAUCUAGUGAAUAGUGAUUACCUAAAAUGUGGUAAAACUAUUCAAAAGAGAAUGAAAGGGUUCUUACAAAAAUCAGGAUGCAGCGACUUCACAUACCUCUCAGUUUGGGAAAGAGGAUGCAUGAGGGAGAGGAAUGCAAGAAUUUUCUAAGUUAUUCUGAUGUUCUACUUCAUAACCUGGGUCACGGUUGUAUAUGUUUGCUUUGUAAUUAUUUAUAGUGUAGGCGUAUAUUUUAUACACUCUUCUAUAGUAUGAAAUAUUUCACAUUAAAUUUUUUUAAAGGGCAAAUUUUCUUUUUCUUAGAAGUGAAGGAGGGGAGAGAGAGGGUCUUAAGCAGGCUCCACACCCAGUGCAGAGCCCGAUGCGGGGCUUGAUCUCAUGACCCUAAGAUCAUGACCUGAGCCCAAAUCAGGAGUUGGACACUUAACCAACUGCACCACCCAGGUGCCCUUAACGGUGAAUUUUCAAUGAAAUCUUCUGAAACCAGGAGGCUUUCACAAAACAAUGGUCCUGAAGGAAAGGAUCUCCAGUUUCACAUCACUGCUCUCCACUGCUCUGCGAUCAUAUCUUGCCUAUCAGACAGCACUCCUGAUGGGCUCUGGCAACUGCCCAUACACAGUGGCAGAAAUAGUUUUACUGUUCCAGGAGAAAAGGGGAGACAGUGAGGGUGCCCUGAGAUGGCAGCAAAGGGAUUUAGGUUAGAUUUGCUUCACCUAUUCAUUUUGUAAAAUCAGUAGCACUGGCAACAAUUGUAAUAAAUCUGUAGGAAGUGUACUGGCCUUUCCUGUUUGUCAUUGCAAACCGAAGACCCCCUCCUCUUCAUCUCCUUUUACUGGCCCCCCAUCAUGAGGCAGAGAGAGAGCGCAAGCUCUCAUUUGGAAUUUUCCUUGAAAUACCAGAUCCCUAUAAAAAUGAAACAAACAGAAGUGAACGGGAGGAGGGCCAUGCCUAACCACUGGUCAUUAUACUCACUUAAGUCGUCGUAAUUUCUUUUGGCCCUAACCUCUAUUUCCAUGUCUCAGGUAAGCACUAAGAAGACUUUUCCGCAUAUGGGGUCUCUGUGGCACUGGACCUUGUGGCCAAAGUUGGAACCUCCUUUGUUCUCCGAGGGUGCACUUUGGAUGCUCCUACUGGAAAUUUGGCCAAGGGCCCUCAGUAUACUACUGUUCGGGGAGAUAAAAUCCAUGCAAUUAUGUCUCAAUUGAGUCAUCUCCUUGUAUAAAGGGGUUCGCCGUUAUUUUAUAGAAUGAAUGUAUUGCUUUGAAAAGAGCGCCGUGUGAGGAAAUGAUUAACUAUCGAGUAAGUAACAUUUAAAUGUGUUCUAGUAACAGAGUUUAUCAGUUAUUUUCCCCCAGACACUGGACAAGCGUCAGGCCUGUGGACCCCAGGGCCUGACCCAGCGGCUAGCAGGGACUCGUUGGGCCGUGCCGAGGGAAAUGAGCAUUAGGCCAAGCAUCCAGGCUCUGAUUCGUGUUUUGUCCAGACUACACUUUCAGGAUGGCCGGAUCAAGAGACUUGUCUUCUAGCAUGUUAUUUUGUAAAUUUUGAAUGAAAAGAAAAUAACAAUUUUCUUCUUUUUUUUUUAUUACGUUCAGUUAGCCAACAUGUAGUACAUCAUUAGUUUUCGAUGUAGUGAUCAACCAUUCAUCAGUUGCGUAUAACACCCAGUGCUCAUCACGUCACGUGCCCUCCUUACACCCAUCACCGGUCACCCAUCCCCCCACCCCCCUCCCCUCUGUAAUCCUCAGUUGUCUCCUGCAGCAUGCAGGAAGGCCAUAAAGCCCCCAGGUUUGAGUUUAUGGUACUAAGAUCUUAAAGACUUGAGAUUCUGUUUGCAUCAGAAAGGAAAAGUUGAGUUCUGCUAGUUACUGUGCAAGAGGACAGCACACAUCUUUUCCCAUAAAAUGGGUUUAUUAAAUGAAAUGUGUAUACACUGGGUGAGGUGGGAUGGCCCGUCAAGCAAAUUAGAGAUAGCCUGUACUAUUAGACUCCAGAACCUUGCAUUAGGCCUAAAGAGGGUAUUAAAACCACAAAACUGCCCCUUGAUGAUUGUAAAAGCAAAUUCCUGUUGUCAUGAGUUAAAAACGAACAGACAAGCACCUGUCUGUAGAGGUCACUCCUCAUGUUUUCAACCACAGAUUUCCAUAAAAUGAAAACAUGAGAAUCAAAAUUUAAGGCAAUGUGUAGUCAGUGUGCUUUUUUUUUUUGGUCUUUUUGUCUGUUUGUCUUUUUGUUUAGUUUCAUGUUCUGAAAUGAGCCUGCCGGCCUCCCAGGCCUAUGGGUCUCAGAUUCUCUCCUCAGAAGCACAGGUGAAGGGCCUAGCUCCUGCCUCCUGCUGAGGCUUGUGGCUCCUCCUGGGCUGUCCGAGAAAUGCCCAGGAAUCAGUACCUGUGCGGCUCCACAGCGCCUGUGGGACCAACAUGCAAUUGCAUCAGUGAGUAAACUUCCUAUAGUGUAUAGAGAGUGUGCCUUCUUCCCUGCCCUCCUUCUUCUGGCUUGUUUUUUGUUUUUGUUUUUGUUUUUUUAAAGGAGGCUCCGCACCCAGUGUGGGGCUUGAACUCACGACCCUGCAAUCAGGAAUCUCACGCUCCACCGACUAAGCCAGCCCUGCGCUCCAUCUCAUGCUCCGGCUUCGAUUCAUAAAGACAAGAGUGUAGUGGCUGAAUCUUCGGAAUCUUUUUAUCACAAAAAUGGCUUCUAGCCAGCCAGCGGCUCAGGGAGCCCACGGCAGGGGAUGUGACCGCACGAGUGCGUUCCACGGCUGAGGGAAGUGUGUGGGGCCUGCAGGCCGUGGGAGGUCAUGCUAUUCCAGGUAAGCAGAUCUAGACUCAAAUCCUUCUUCAUUUAUGCAUCCUCUCAGCAAACAUCUGAGUGCCUCCUACAGGCCGGGUUCUGUUCCAGGCAUUCAUGCUUUGUCCGUAGACAGACAAUUCCUUGACUUUCUAGAGCUUGCAAACUAGCAGAGGGAGCGUGUCCGAGACAAAGCGAGUAAGUCCCGCAUUUUGUGUUCGUUGAUUCCGGGAAGUACAGUGUUUCGCUUGAGCCGCUCUGAAGUGGAGAUGCCUUCUGCGAUCACUAGUAUGCUCGAAUUUCUGUGGGCUGGGCAGCGGCCUCUAACUCUUUGUCAUUGCCUAUGGGUCUGCAAGCCUGCGGAGAGCUGUUCCAAUUGUUGCUCCUGCGGUGCGUUACCCACGGUGCUGGUGCAAGUAGGACUUCAUUCAUCAUUUAGCAUGUCUUCAAAAAAGAUUCCAUGAUGACUUAGCAUUAAAAUAGAAAGUUAUCAUGUCCCCAGAAAGGUGAGGAAACCAAGAAGCAAAUAUUCAUUCCCGGAAGAAGGACCACAAUUCCAUAUUUCCUAAUAAACAAGCAGCAGGGUUUGACACCAUAAGAAGGGAGGGUGGUACCCGCAAGUGAGGAGAAGCUGUGUCGUGCCUUAUUAGCGAGCUAUAUUUGCAGAAGGACUGACUCACAUGCCAAGGAAUUCAACUGAAGGCAGGAAAAGUCUCUUAAAACCUCUGAAUUGCUAACGGAAACUUGAGAGGUUUGACCUCACGUGAAGGCCAUGACUCACUGGCGAGUCUUAGUGACAUGCGACAUCAUGGCAUGCCUUGAAAUUCAUGCUGUCUUAGCUGAAAUCAGAUACCCCCUUGGAAGGGGGUCAGGAAGGGUGAACAGACGGUGCACAGAGGAUUGUUAGGGCAGUGAAACUACUCUAUAGGACACUACAAUGGUGGGUCCAUGUUGUUAGACAUUUAUCCAAAUCCACGGACUAUGAAAGACCAAGAGAGACCUUGAGGUAAACAAAUAAUGUGUUGGUGUGGGUCCAUCAGUCAUGACAAAGAUCCCACUCUGGUGGGGAGGUGUUGAUAGUGGGGGAGGCUGUGCAUGUGGGGGCAGGAGGUAGAUGGGAAGUCUCUGUACUUAACCUUCAAUUUUGCUGUGAGCCUAAAACUGCUCUAAAAAACAAAGUCUAUUAGAAGUAAAAGAAAAAAGCAGUAUGAAAAAGGCCCUACCAAUAUUAAUUAUAAUCUUAAAAUUAAAAUUCUAUAUUAUUCCAACAAAGCCUAAGGGCCAGGGGCCAUUAAGAAGAGGAGGGGUUCUAAGAAGUUGUGAAGUUCUCAUCUGGUUUGACUCGGAGACGUUAGAAAUACUAUUUAAUUAUUGAUGUUGCUAGGAAAAUAUAGUUUAAUUGAGUUAGUUAAAAACUGAAGUAAAACUAGUAGAUAGAAAUAGAAUGUAAGAGUGCAGAAAAAAACAAAGAAAAAAACCUAAUGAAUCCAG
Long non-coding RNA from Ailuropoda melanoleuca (giant panda), 5602 nucleotides. RefSeq lists it as uncharacterized. The record is from RefSeq and is a predicted model, not a curated record. The transcript has 3 exons. Lineage: Eukaryota; Metazoa; Chordata; Mammalia; Carnivora; Ursidae.